Molecule: ribosomal RNA, 1529 nt
Filed under: Streptococcus pneumoniae
Lineage: Bacteria; Bacillati; Bacillota; Bacilli; Lactobacillales; Streptococcaceae
Description: bacterial SSU rRNA
Rfam family: Bacterial small subunit ribosomal RNA
Source: RNAcentral
AGAGUUUGAUCCUGGCUCAGGACGAACGCUGGCGGCGUGCCUAAUACAUGCAAGUAGAACGCUGCAGGAGGAGCUUGCUUCUCUGGAUGAGUUGCGAACGGGUGAGUAACGCGUAGGUAACCUGCCUGGUAGCGGGGGAUAACUAUUGGAAACGAUAGCUAAUACCGCAUAAGAGUGGAUGUUGCAUGACAUUUGCUUAAAAGGUGCACUUGCAUCACUACCAGAUGGACCUGCGUUGUAUUAGCUAGUUGGUGGGGUAACGGCUCACCAAGGCGACGAUACAUAGCCGACCUGAGAGGGUGAUCGGCCACACUGGGACUGAGACACGGCCCAGACUCCUACGGGAGGCAGCAGUAGAGAAUCUUCGGCAAUGGACGGAAGUCUGACCGAGCAACGCCGCGUGAGUGAAGAUGUUUUCGGAUCGUAAAGCUCUGUUGUAAGAGAAGAAUGAGUGUGAGAGUGGAAAGUUCACACUGUGACGGUAUCUUACCAGAAAGGGACGGCUAACUACGUGCCAGCAGCCGCGGUAAUACGUAGGUCCCGAGCGUUGUCCGGAUUUUUUGGCGUAAAGCGAGCGCAGGCGGUUAGAUAAGUCUGAAGUUAAAGGCUGUGGCUUAACCAUAGUAGGCUUUGGAAACUGUUUAACUUGAGUGCAAGAGGGGAGAGUGGAAUUCCAUGUGUAGCGGUGAAAUGCGUAGAUAUAUGGAGGAACACCGGUGGCGAAAGCGGCUCUCUGGCUUGUAACUGACGCUGAGGCUCGAAAGCGUGGGGAGCAAACAGGAUUAGAUACCCUGGUAGUCCACGCUGUAAACGAUGAGUGCUAGGUGUUAGACCCUUUCCGGGGUUUAGUGCCGUAGCUAACGCAUUAAGCACUCCGCCUGGGGAGUACGACCGCAAGGUUGAAACUCAAAGGAAUUGACGGGGGCCCGCACAAGCGGUGGAGCAUGUGGUUUAAUUCGAAGCAACGCGAAGAACCUUACCAGGUCUUGACAUCCCUCUGACCGCUCUAGAGAUAGAGCUUUCCUUCGGGACAGAGGUGACAGGUGGUGCAGGGUGUCGUCAGCUCGUGUCGUGAGAUGUUGGGUAAGUCCCGCAACGAGCGCAACCCCUAUUGUUAGUUGCCAUCAUUUAGUUGGGCACUCUAGCGAGACUGCCGGUAAUAAACCGGAGGAAGGUGGGGAUGACGUCAAAUCAUCAUGCCCCUUAUGACCUGGGCUACACACGUGCUACAAUGGCUGGAACAACGAGUCGCAAGCCGGUGACGGCAAGCUAAUCUCUUAAAGCCAGUCUCAGUUCGGAUUGUAGGCUGCAACUCGCCUACAUGAAGUCGGAAUCGCUAGUAAUCGCGGAUCAGCACGCCGCGGUGAAUACGUUCCCGGGCCUUGUACACACCGCCCGUCACACCCCAGAGUUUGUAACACCCGAAGUCGGUGAGGUAACCGUAAGGAGCCAGCCGCCUAAGGUGGGAUAGAUGAUUGGGGUGAAGUCGUAACAAGGUAGCCGUAUCGGAAGGUGCGGCUGGAUCACCU